UUAUAAAGAUUGAUAAUUUGAGUUAUAGAGGUUAAUAAUAUUUGAGUGAUAGGGGUUAAAAAUAUAUUUGAGUUAUAGAGGUUAAUAAUAAUUUGAGUUAUAGAGGUUAAUAAUAAUUUGAGUUAUAGAGGUUAAUAAUAAUUUGAGUUAUAGAGGUUAAUAAUAAUUUGAGUUAUAGAGGUUAAAAGUAAUUUGAGUUAUAGAGGUUAAUAAUAAUU
This is a long non-coding RNA of Astyanax mexicanus (Mexican tetra), 218 nucleotides long. RefSeq lists it as uncharacterized. The record is from RefSeq and is a predicted model, not a curated record. The transcript is spliced from 3 exons. Lineage: Eukaryota; Metazoa; Chordata; Actinopteri; Characiformes; Acestrorhamphidae.